This 253-nucleotide ribosomal RNA is filed under the name uncultured Eubacteriales bacterium. RNAcentral describes it as "uncultured Clostridiales bacterium partial 16S ribosomal RNA". It matches the Rfam family "Bacterial small subunit ribosomal RNA", at positions 524 to 776 of the family's 1533-position model. Lineage: Bacteria; Bacillati; Bacillota; Clostridia; Eubacteriales. The record is from RNAcentral.
UACGUAGGUGGCAAGCGUUAUCCGGAUUUAUUGGGCGUAAAGGGAGCGUAGACGGUGAUGUAAGUCUGGAGUGAAAGGCGGGGGCCCAACCCCCGGACUGCUCUGGAAACUAUAUGACUGGAGUGCAGGAGAGGUGAGCGGAAUUCCUAGUGUAGCGGUGAAAUGCGUAGAUAUUAGGAGGAACACCAGUGGCGAAGGCGGCUCACUGGACUGUAACUGACGCUGAGGUUCGAAAGCGUGGGUAGCAAACAGG